UUGAAGCAUAUACAGUGAGAAGAAAAUGAGAGAAACAGUUUUAGAGUUGCCAAGGUUUGUUGAGUUCCGGUCACAAUAUAGCAAUAACUUCUGUGGACGAAAAUCCUAAAACAAUCCGUCUUACCAAUGUUCAUGUCAAAAGCAAUUUGUGCUUGUGGCGAUCGAGCAGAGGGACCUUAUUAUGCAUGCGUGGCUGCAGGCUACUCAGUUCGGGAUUCUGCUAACAUUAAAAAACAUCAAAUACUAGGCAGCUUCUUUGGGAAUCUGAGCAAAUAACUACCUUAUUAUCAGGUAGAGCACCUGAAUUUAUGAGGUUUAAAACAUGCAGAAUUGCCUCCACUUCCCUGCAAAUUCCACCACGCAUGUCCCCCCAUUUACUAACUGAAUAUGCCGCAUCAACCAUGCAAAUUACUGAGUAUACACUACUCCUCACUUCCCUGCAGAGAAUAGAUUCAUGUCCUUUCUGUGAUGCACAUUUAGAGCACCUAUAGGGUUUACUCUCCAGAGUGGCCCCUGCCCAAAUGACAUGAUGUUUGAAGCACUGCCCCAUUUAGCAACUCGAAUGAAUAUCAACUCCUGAAUUUUUUUUUCUUUAAUCUUUAUCUUAUUAAAGAUUUGGUCGUCUCUGGCUACCCAGAUAGACCACAGCGAAGCCGAUAUCACCAUACGCCAUACUUUGGAGAUAAAACGUGGCCUGUUCAGUUUAAGUAAGGCCAUGAGAUUGAAAUUGCUGAAGCCUGUCAUCGUGGUUUUAAGGUUCCACCAAUUACUUAUAAAAGACCAAGCCCAUUUUGCUAGUUGGCAGUCCCAAAGCAGGUGAGACGAAGUUUCUAUUUGUUGGCAGAAAACCCCGAAUUCUGCUGCUAAGGAAGUGAUUUAGAAUUAUAAAGUAUUUUUAAAUUCUCAAGUGCUCAGUUAAGUACUCAAUCACGUACGUAUGAUUUAGAAUUAUAAAGUAUUUUUAAAUUCUCAAUGUUGAAAUUUUAUCAAGAAUAUAAGACUAAAAGGUUUUUAACUUAAGAAUGUAUUUUCAGAAAAUAUUUUAUUUUCAAUAAUAAGUAACUUGAUGUAUUGUCAUAACAUAAAUUUAUCAACUAGAGUAGCUAGGAUGUUCCAAUGACAGUCUUAAAGAAUACAUGGAAGGAUGAGAAAAAUAGCAGUAAUACUUUACAUUAUUCUACGCUAUGCAUUGUGAUUUAUCAAGGAUCCGAUCCUGGCCUGGAGGAUCCUUUUUCUUUUCUGUGAAGGCAGGGAAUUGAAGUAUUUCAUCUGUCAUAAAGGGUCAUCAGAUAUAAAGCAUACAUGCUGAAAAAGUAGUAUUUGGUAGAAUUUCUCUAACAAUAUUCUUAUAUUUUAUAUUCAAUUUAACAUAAUAAUAAACUUAAAAUUAUUAAAAUUAAUUUGUAUUAUAAUAUCAAACUAUUUAAUCAGGAUUCUUAAAAUAUUUUUUUACAGCAGGUCAAGAAAAAUAGAAGCACGGCUGUAGAACUAGCUUUUCAUUGCCAAACAUGCUCUAUGUUUUGCUCUAUUUGAUAUCCAUGUGCUCAAGCAGUCGAGCAUCCGAUCCCCACUCAAGAAUUAUAAUCUUUUUCCUUUGUUUUAAAAGGUCAUCAUGAUGCCAAGCUUACGGUCAUCCUAUAAUUGAAGCAAAUACAUCUGAUAUAUGUACGGUGAGAAGAAAAUGAGUGAACUAGUUGUAGAGCUGCCAAGGUUUGUUGAGUUGCGGUCACAAUAUAGCAAUAAGUUAUUGAAAUAUGUAAAGAAAGAGGGGGAGGUGAAGGGGUUUGUCCAGUUCUCUGGCGAUCAUGUAGGAGCCCAGACGCAAAAGUGCAACAUUUGAGAAGCCCAAGAUAUUAGGCAUGCCAUCGGUGCUCCUAUAACCACCAAACACAGUUAAGUCACUCUACGAAUAACCAAAUUCAAAGUUAAUUGUGUUAGGAUCACAUCCACUAUAAAUUGACGUUAAACAAACACAAUAACAGGCACGCAAAUAAAGAACACAUACAAUAAACGUGGAAACCUCUCGAGGGAGGGUAAAAUCACAAACCACUAAAUAAGAAUGUAUUACAAGAUUGGAGUCACCCCUUACUCACACUCUAAACUUACAAGCACGACACAUGAUUUCAGUCCCAUGACAACUUGGAGAACCGUCAUUGUCACUUGACAAUUCAAGUAUCAACUUGGAGGAGGGUUUUUCUUUCAUGAUCAUCAAUCAUGAUUUAAUGAUAUAUCUCUCGCAACUUCCAUUACGCUACUAGGUUGUCUUUUCUGGGAUUCGAUGCAGUGAGCUUUGACAAAAUCAGGGUCUGAUAUGAUUGCUAACCAUGUUUUGCAAACUGAUUUGCAUCGAAGGAGUGUUGCUACAGGUAACAAAUAAAAUGUUUUGUGAGAAGACAUGAUUAGGAGUGAUUCGAAUAAUGUAACUAUAUAUGGUAGAUAAGUAGCGGAUCUUACAGCAUCUUCGAGGGGAAGAACAUGCUCAGUAGGCGUAUCAGUGUUGCAUUCUGUCAUUUUUCCAAUGAGAGCCUCUUCAAUCUCCUCAUUCUGGGAAUCCUGAUUUUGUUGAAGAAGGCAAGUAGAAUGAGAAUGGUGAAGGCAAUGGAGUUAACGAAGCAGAUUUCCAUCUUCGUAUGCGCAUGAGGCAUAUGCAACACCAUACCUAUGACUAGCAGAGCAAAAUAUGAGUUCAUUAGAUAAAUAUAGCUUCAUCAAAACUGAUAAUGAAAAUCUAGGUUUAUAAUUCUAGUGAAAAUAAAGGUUUACACUAAAACAACACUACUAGAGUCCUGCAAAUGUUUAUUAACUUCCUGCAAAUGAGAAUUGAAUGUGAAACCUAAAUUAAAACAAGUAAUACAAUGUUCUGCUAAAGCACUACAAUAUUCACAUGUUCUCUUGGAAGCUAGGAGAAUUUAUGAUUGUCCUCCAUUUUCAAUAUUGUUUUUUUUCGGUGACAGCAGAAAGUUUGCAACAAUAUCUGCAAGCACGACAUAAUUAAAAUUAAAUAAAAAAAUGAUUACCAGCAUAAAAUGUUGUCAUAUAUCAUUGAUCCACCUUUUUGGAGCAUUUUCUUCAUUAUUCGCUGCAAUUUUGUAACAUAUAUAUAUGUAUUAGAAUCAAGAUGAUAUGUCUACAAUAUCUUCUAGUUAAAAAUUUUAAGAUGCAAAUGUCAAGGGUUGGGCAAAAGUCGGGUCGGGCUAAAAGACCAUAAACAAAAGGAGAAAUAAAAUAAAAACAAUCUAAAAUCCAAAAUAGUGAGGGCUUGGGGUUGCAAUAUCUUUCAUUUGGGUCCAAAUCCAUGACCAAGUAAGAUGGCUUGAUGUCAAAAUGAAUUAUUAAAUUUACUUUAUCCCGAUUAGAGCUAGAGGAAUAUGGAAAAAUUUAAAAUACAACAAUUUGGGAUAUGAUUUCCCAAAUGGAGAUAUUAAAUCACAAAUAGAAUAAAUAUUAUCAUAAUUCUCUUACACUUUUCAACGGAACUUGAAGUAGGUUGCGAGAUCUGAGAUUGAUCGGAAGAUCCAGAAUCUGUAUUGAGUGUUUAAGCUUCCACGAAAAUCUAGAAAAUUCAUAAAAAGGCUUGAAGAAGAUGAUGAUUGAGCGUAAAUUGAGAAUAUCAAGGUGAUUUCUUAGAUCUUUAUGGAAUGGAUGCUUGAAACUGAAAAACAUAACAGUUGUCGCAUUCGAGGAAUUGUCGAAGGUAGAACCCUAAAAGUUGGAAGGGGUUUUCAAGAAGAAAAGGAUUUGAAGAAUUUUAGAGAAAGACUUUGCUAUGCUUGAGGUGAAAUGAAUUUACAUAUGUUGCACAUAUUUUAUAAAGAAGUAGUACCGGUUGUAACCGGUCAAAGAAAAGAUUACCGCUUAUAGACAGUAAAAAGGCUACGGCCCAAAUGCUUACAAGUAUGAGACCUGAUUGAGGCAAGAAGCCCACUAUAUUAAAAUUUUAAACAAGCUUCGGGAAAAUUCUAAGGAAUUCGGGAGAAUUCUUAGUAUAUAACGAAAACUAUUAACCAAAUGACCCAAGUAAAAAGAUAAUCCUGAUUAGUGGUUAUGACGAAUGAUUGUCGAUCUCGUUAAAUUAGGUGUCUGGCUUUAACUCUAAAGUCUAUUUUUAUGAAGUAUACCCUUAACCAUGUAAUUCAUUCUAUUGAGCAAAAUAAGGUUAAAAAGAAUUCGUCCGAAAAAUAUUAAAGAUCGGGCCUACAAAGUAUAGAAAUAAAUCUGGUCUGAAGGGAGGAUUUAUCCUAGUUGUGGAAAAAUUAUAACUUUCCAUGUCGAGAUGAUUGACGGUUUGAUCCAUUAAGAAGAAAAAUAAAAUAAAAUUUUUUUUUUCCAACAAAAAAAGAAGUGAAAGACCAACCCGCAUGGAGCAUUCAUCAUGGGUGUGGCUUAAUCAAGAUUUUUGGGUGGGAUUUUCUUCAUCCAGGUUCUAUCUACAGUUAAAUUCUAUUUUUUCCUAAAAAUAAAAAGAAUAUAAAAAAUAGAAUUUACAUAAGUUAUUCAAAAUUCGGUGAAAACCCCCACUUGGCAAAUAAGUAUCCCAAGCGGGAUAAAAAAAAUACACUGAGGCACAGCCUGCACAUGUUCUUACUAAAGAAUGCACGAGACACAGUUCCUCAAAAGUUUUUUUUUUUUUUUCUUUUUUACGGUAAUGACAUUAUCCACCGGGACAAUACUCGUAUAAGAGCUUCCCAGACGGUUGUAUCCACCGGGAUAAAUUGUGUUCUAUUUUUACUCUAAACAAGGCAAAUACAAAAAAGUAGCACUAAUACUUUACAUUAUUCUGCUCUAUCCAAUAUUCUUUGCUUAAGUAUCCGAUCCCCCACUCAAGAAUUAUAAUCUUUUACUUCCUUUGCUAUAUAAAGUCAUCAUGAUGCCAAGCUUACAGUCACUCUAUAAUUGAAGCAUAUACAGUGAGAAGAAAAUGAGAGAAACAGUUUUAGAGUUGCCAAGGUUUGUUGAGUUCCGGUCACAAUAUAGCAAUAACUUCUGUGGACGAAAAUCCUAAAACAAUCCGUCUUACCAAUGUUCAUGUCAAAAGCAAUUUGUGCUUGUGGCGAUCGAGCAGAGGGACCUUAUUAUGCAUGCGUGGCUGCAGGCUACUCAGUUCGGGAUUCUGCUAACAUUAAAAAACAUCAAAUACUAGGCAGCUUCUUUGGGAAUCUGAGCAAAUAACUACCUUAUUAUCAGGUAGAGCACCUGAAUUUAUGAGGUUUAAAACAUGCAGAAUUGCCUCCACUUCCCUGCAAAUUCCACCACGCAUGUCCCCCCAUUUACUAACUGAAUAUGCCGCAUCAACCAUGCAAAUUACUGAGUAUACACUACUCCUCACUUCCCUGCAGAGAAUAGAUUCAUGUCCUUUCUGUGAUGCACAUUUAGAGCACCUAUAGGGUUUACUCUCCAGAGUGGCCCCUGCCCAAAUGACAUGAUGUUUGAAGCACUGCCCCAUUUAGCAACUCGAAUGAAUAUCAACUCCUGAAUUUUUUUUUCUUUAAUCUUUAUCUUAUUAAAGAUUUGGUCGUCUCUGGCUACCCAGAUAGACCACAGCGAAGCCGAUAUCACCAUACGCCAUACUUUGGAGAUAAAACGUGGCCUGUUCAGUUUAAGUAAGGCCAUGAGAUUGAAAUUGCUGAAGCCUGUCAUCGUGGUUUUAAGGUUCCACCAAUUACUUAUAAAAGACCAAGCCCAUUUUGCUAGUUGGCAGUCCCAAAGCAGGUGAGACGAAGUUUCUAUUUGUUGGCAGAAAACCCCGAAUUCUGCUGCUAAGGAAGUGAUUUAGAAUUAUAAAGUAUUUUUAAAUUCUCAAGUGCUCAGUUAAGUACUCAAUCACGUACGUAUGAUUUAGAAUUAUAAAGUAUUUUUAAAUUCUCAAUGUUGAA
Molecule: long non-coding RNA, 5873 nt
Filed under: Daucus carota (carrot)
Lineage: Eukaryota; Viridiplantae; Streptophyta; Magnoliopsida; Apiales; Apiaceae
Description: long non-coding RNA (DCAR_LNC000834)
Source: RNAcentral